UCCCGGUUAGCUCAAUUGGUCAGAGCGUCGGACUUUUAGCCUACUAGCCAGCUUUGGGCUUCGCUAAAGGUAUCCGAAGGCUGCGAGUUCGACCCUCGCAUCGGGAG
RNAcentral lists this transfer RNA (107 nucleotides) under Colletotrichum incanum. It matches the Rfam family "tRNA". From Rfam's summary of the family: Transfer RNA (tRNA) molecules are approximately 80 nucleotides in length. Lineage: Eukaryota; Fungi; Ascomycota; Sordariomycetes; Glomerellales; Glomerellaceae. The record is from Rfam by way of RNAcentral.